RNAcentral lists this ribosomal RNA (1287 nucleotides) under uncultured bacterium. RNAcentral's name for it is "bacterial SSU rRNA". It matches the Rfam family "Bacterial small subunit ribosomal RNA", at positions 94 to 1399 of the family's 1533-position model. The record is from RNAcentral.
AGUGGCGGACGGGUGAGUAAUGCAUGAGCAACCUGCCUUUCAGAGAGGAAUAACACAGAGAAAUUUGUGCUAAUACCGCAUAACAUAUGUUUGUCGCAUGGCAGACAUAUCAAAGGAGCAAUCCGCUGAAAGAUGGGCUCAUGUCUGAUUAGAUAGUUGGUAGGGUAACGGCCUACCAAGUCUGCGAUCAGUAGCCGGACUGAGAGGUUGAACGGCCACAUUGGAACUGAGAUACGGUCCAGACUCCUACGGGAGGCAGCAGUGGGGAAUAUUGGGCAAUGGGCGAAAGCCUGACCCAGCGACGCCGCGUGAAGGAAGAAGGCCUUCGGGUUGUAAACUUCUUUUACCAGGGACGAAGAAAUGACGGUACCUGGCGAAUAAGCUCCGGCUAACUACGUGCCAGCAGCCGCGGUAAUACGUAGGGAGCAAGCGUUGUCCGGAUUUACUGGGUGUAAAGGGCGCGUAGGCGGGACGGCAAGUCAGAUGUGAAAUCUCGGGGCUCAACCCCGAAACUGCAUUUGAAACUGUCGUUCUUGAGUACUGGAGAGGUUGACGGAAUUCCUAGUGUAGCGGUGAAAUGCGUAGAUAUUAGGAGGAACACCAGUGGCGAAGGCGGUCAACUGGACAGUAACUGACGCUGAGGCGCGAAAGCGUGGGGAGCAAACAGGAUUAGAUACCCUGGUAGUCCACGCUGUAAACGAUGAAUACUAGGUGUGGGGGGACUGACCCCUUCCGUGCCGCAGUUAACACAAUAAGUAUUCCACCUGGGGAGUACGGCCGCAAGGUUGAAACUCAAAGGAAUUGACGGGGGCCCGCACAAGCAGUGGAUUAUGUGGUUUAAUUCGAAGCAACGCGAAGAACCUUACCAAGGUUUGACAUCCCGGUGACCGCCAUAGAGAUAUGGUUUUCUCUUCGGAGACACCGGUGACAGGUGGUGCAUGGUUGUCGUCAGCUCGUGUCGUGAGAUGUUGGGUUAAGUCCCGCAACGAGCGCAACCCUUAUUGAUAGUUGCUACGCAAGAGCACUCUAUCGAGACUGCCGUUGACAAAACGGAGGAAGGUGGGGACGACGUCAAAUCAUCAUGCCCCUUAUAUCUUGGGCUACACACGUAAUACAAUGGCACUUAACAAAAGGAAGCGAAACCGCGAGGUGGAGCAAAUCCCCAAAAAGUGUCCCAGUUCGGACUGCAGUCUGCAACUCGACUGCACGAAGUCGGAAUUGCUAGUAAAGGCGUAUCAGCAACGACGCCUUGAAUACGUUCCCGGGCCUUGCACACACCGCCCGUCA